This 460-nucleotide ribosomal RNA is filed under the name uncultured bacterium. RNAcentral's name for it is "partial 16S ribosomal RNA". It matches the Rfam family "Bacterial small subunit ribosomal RNA", at positions 338 to 795 of the family's 1533-position model. The record is from RNAcentral.
ACUACGGGUGGCAGCAGUGAGGAAUAUUGGUCAAUGGGCGCGAGCCUGAACCAGCCAAGUAGCGUGAAGGAUGACUGCCCUACGGGUUGUAAACUUCUUUUAUAAAGGAAUAAAGUGAGGCACGUGUGCCUGUUGGUAAGUACUUUAUGAAUAAGGAUCGGCUAACUCCGUGCCAGCAGCCGCGGUAAUACGGAGGAUCCGAGCGUUAUCCGGAGUUAUUGGGUUUAAAGGGAGAGUAGAUGGGUUGUUAAGUCAGUUGUGAAAGUUUGCGGCUCAACCGUAAAAUUGCAAUUGAUACUGGCAGUCUUGAGUACAGUUGAGGUAGGCGGAAUGCGUGGUGUAGCGGUGAAAUGCUUAGAUAUCACGAAGAACUCCGAUUGCGAAGGCAGCUUACUAAACUGCCACUGACAUUGAUGCUCGAAAGUGUGGGUAUCAAACAGGAUUAGAUACCCUAGUAGUC